AGAGUUUGAUCCUGGCUCAGAUUGAACGCUGGCGGCAUGCCUUACACAUGCAAGUCGAACGGCAGCACGAGAGCUUGCUCUUGGUGGCGAGUGGCGAACGGGUGAGUAAUAUAUCGGAACGUACCCUAGAGUGGGGGAUAACGUAGCGAAAGUUACGCUAAUACCGCAUACGAUCUACGGAUGAAAGUGGGGGAUCGCAAGACCUCAUGCUCAUGGAGCGGCCGAUAUCUGAUUAGCUAGUUGGUGGGGUAAAAGCUCACCAAGGCGACGAUCAGUAGCUGGUCUGAGAGGACGACCAGCCACACUGGAACUGAGACACGGUCCAGACUCCUACGGGAGGCAGCAGUGGGGAAUUUUGGACAAUGGGCGCAAGCCUGAUCCAGCAAUGCCGCGUGAGUGAAGAAGGCCUUCGGGUUGUAAAGCUCUUUUGUCAGGGAAGAAACGGUGGACUCUAAUACAGAUCACUAAUGACGGUACCUGAAGAAUAAGCACCGGCUAACUACGUGCCAGCAGCCGCGGUAAUACGUAGGGUGCAAGCGUUAAUCGGAAUUACUGGGCGUAAAGCGUGCGCAGGCGGUUGUGCAAGACAGAUGUGAAAUCCCCGGGCUCAACCUGGGAAUUGCAUUUGUGACUGCACGGCUAGAGUGUGUCAGAGGGGGGUAGAAUUCCACGUGUAGCAGUGAAAUGCGUAGAGAUGUGGAGGAAUACCGAUGGCGAAGGCAGCCCCCUGGGAUAACACUGACGCUCAUGCACGAAAGCGUGGGGAGCAAACAGGAUUAGAUACCCUGGUAGUCCACGCCCUAAACGAUGUCUACUAGUUGUCGGGUCUUAAUUGACUUGGUAACGCAGCUAACGCGUGAGGUAGACCGCCUGGGGAGUACGGUCGCAAGAUUAAAACUCAAAGGAAUUGACGGGGACCCGCACAAGCGGUGGAUGAUGUGGAUUAAUUCGAUGCAACGCGAAAAACCUUACCUACCCUUUACAUGUCUGGAAUCCUUGAGAGAUCAGGGAGUGCUCGAAAGAGAAUCAGAACACAGGUGCUGCAUGGCUGUCGUCAGCUCGUGUCGUGAGAUGUUGGGUUAAGUCCCGCAACGAGCGCAACCCUUGUCAUUAGUUGCUACGAAAGGGCACUCUAAUGAGACUGCCGGUGACAAACCGGAGGAAGGUGGGGAUGACGUCAAGUCCUCAUGGCCCUUAUGGGUAGGGCUUCACACGUCAUACAAUGGUACAUACAGAGGGCCGCCAACCCGCGAGGGGGAGCUAAUCCCAGAAAGUGUAUCGUAGUCCGGAUUGUAGUCUGCAACUCGACUACAUGAAGUUGGAAUCGCUAGUAAUCGCGGAUCAGCAUGUCGCGGUGAAUACGUUCCCGGGUCUUGUACACACCGCCCGUCACACCAUGGGAGCGGGUUUCACCAGAAGUGGGUAGCCUAACCGCAAGGAGGGCGCUCACCACGGUGGGAUUCGUGACUGGGGUGAAGUCGUAACAAGGUA
This 1491-nucleotide ribosomal RNA is filed under the name metagenome. RNAcentral describes it as "bacterial SSU rRNA". It matches the Rfam family "Bacterial small subunit ribosomal RNA". The record is from RNAcentral.